Molecule: long non-coding RNA, 443 nt
Organism: Mirounga angustirostris (Northern elephant seal)
Lineage: Eukaryota; Metazoa; Chordata; Mammalia; Carnivora; Phocidae
Exons: 2
Source: RefSeq, a predicted model, not a curated record
CAAUCUCCACCCCGGAGGAGCCAAGAACUCAGGGCCGCACUCCUCAGUGAGCCCCCAGAGAAAAGCAGUCAAUCACUCCCAUCUACCCGGUCUCCGGCUGCACUCCGUGUUCACCCAGCCUGUGACUGAGUGUUUCUAUCUCUGGCACCCGACCCUGUGUGGAGUCUCCAAACCCAGCAGAUCCCUGCAGUGCACUCCUGCACUGCUCCCCCCGGGGGAGGAAGGUAAGCUCUACACUGGACAUGGGGCUUGAACUCAUCAACCCAAGAUCAAGAAUCACAUGUUCUGACUGAGCCAGCCAGGCUCCCCUGAAGUUAUUUUAUAUUAUCUGUUUUAUAUUUCAAUGUCUGUAGGCUCUGAAGUGCUUUAAUUUUCUUUAUUGCUGAUACUGACAAUUUGGGCUUUCUCUCUGUUUUUCUUGAUUAAAAGUAUUUUAAUUAUAU